UAGGGAAUCUUCCACAACGGGCGCAAGCCUGAUGGAGCAACACCGCGUGAGUGAAGAAGGGUUUCGGCUCGUAAAGCUCUGUUGUUAAAGAAGAACACGUAUGAGAGUAACUGUUCAUACGUUGACGGUAUUUAACCAGAAAGUCACGGCUAACUACGUGCCAG
This 164-nucleotide ribosomal RNA is filed under the name uncultured bacterium. RNAcentral's name for it is "partial 16S rRNA". It matches the Rfam family "Bacterial small subunit ribosomal RNA", at positions 355 to 511 of the family's 1533-position model. The record is from RNAcentral.